RNAcentral lists this transfer RNA (71 nucleotides) under Loxodonta africana (African savanna elephant). It matches the Rfam family "tRNA". Rfam says of the family: Transfer RNA (tRNA) molecules are approximately 80 nucleotides in length. Their secondary structure includes four short double-helical elements and three loops (D, anti-codon, and T loops). Further hydrogen bonds mediate the characteristic L-shaped molecular structure. tRNAs have two regions of fundamental functional importance: the anti-codon, which is responsible for specific mRNA codon recognition, and the 3' end, to which the tRNAs corresponding amino acid is attached (by aminoacyl-tRNA synthetases). tRNAs cope with the degeneracy of the genetic code in two manners: having more than one tRNA (with a specific anti-codon) for a particular amino acid; and 'wobble' base-pairing, i.e. permitting non-standard base-pairing at the 3rd anti-codon position. Lineage: Eukaryota; Metazoa; Chordata; Mammalia; Proboscidea; Elephantidae. The record is from Rfam by way of RNAcentral.
ACAUUGGUGGGUCAGUGGUAGAAUUCUUGCCUUCUAUGUAGGAGACCUGAAUUCGAUUCCCAGCCAAAGCA